This 497-nucleotide ribosomal RNA is filed under the name uncultured bacterium. Its description in RNAcentral is "partial 16S ribosomal RNA". It matches the Rfam family "Bacterial small subunit ribosomal RNA", at positions 28 to 507 of the family's 1533-position model. The record is from RNAcentral.
GGCGAACGCUGGCGGCGUGCCUAAUACAUGCAAGUUGAGCGCUGAAGGUUGGUACUUGUACCAACUGGAUGAGCAGCGAACGGGUGAGUAACGCGUGGGGAAUCUGCCUUUGAGCGGGGGACAACAUUUGGAAACGAAUGCUAAUACCGCAUAAAAACUUUAAACACAAGUUUUAAGUUUGAAAGGUGCAAUUGCAUCACUCAAAGAUGAUCCCGCGUUGUAUUAGCUAGUUGGUGAGGUAAAGGCUCACCAAGGCGAUGAUACAUAGCCGACCUGAGAGGGUGAUCGGCCACAUUGGGACUGAGACACGGCCCAAACUCCUACGGGAGGCAGCAGUAGGGAAUCUUCGGCAAUGGACGAAAGUCUGACCGAGCAACGCCGCGUGAGUGAAGAAGGUUUUCGGAUCGUAAAACUCUGUUGGUAGAGAAGAACGUUGGUGAGAGUGGAAAGCUCAUCAAGUGACGGUAACUACCCAGAAAGGGACGGCUAACUACGUG